Molecule: non-coding RNA, 108 nt
Filed under: uncultured Ferdinandcohnia sp.
Lineage: Bacteria; Bacillati; Bacillota; Bacilli; Caryophanales; Bacillaceae
Description: SAM riboswitch (S box leader)
Rfam family: SAM riboswitch aptamer (S box leader)
About the family: The SAM riboswitch is found upstream of a number of genes which code for proteins involved in methionine or cysteine biosynthesis in Gram-positive bacteria. The SAM riboswitch acts at the level of transcription termination control.
Source: RNAcentral
UCUUAUUCAGAGCGGUGGAGGGACUUGGCCCUACGAAACCCGGCAACCUUCAAGAUUAAUCUUGAAAAGGUGCUAAUUCCAUCAGGUACAAAUACCUGAGAGAUAAGA